Molecule: ribosomal RNA, 465 nt
Filed under: uncultured bacterium
Lineage: Bacteria
Description: partial 16S ribosomal RNA
Rfam family: Bacterial small subunit ribosomal RNA
Source: RNAcentral
CCUACGGGUGGCAGCAGUGGGGAAUUUUGCGCAAUGCUCGUAAGAGUGACGCAGCGACGCCGCGUGAAUGACGAAGGCCUUCGGGUCGUAAACCUCUGUCAGCAGGGAAGAACGGUCACUGUGCUAAUCAGCAGUGAAUUGACGGUACCUGCAAAGGAAGCACCGGCUAACUCCGUGCCAGCAGCCGCGGUAAUACGGAGGGUGCGAGCGUUAAUCGGAAUUACUGGGCGUAAAGCGCUCGUAGGCGGUAUGUCAAGUCAAGGGUGAAAUCCCCGCGCUCAACGUGGGAACUGCCUUUGAAACUGGCAAACUGGAGUGUGUGAGAGGAUAGUGGAAUUCCAGGUGUAGGAGUGAAAUCCGUAGAUAUCUGGAGGAACAUCAGUGGCGAAGGCGACUAUCUGGCACAUAACUGACGCUGAGGAGCGAAAGCGUGGGUAGCAAACAGGAUUAGAUACCCUUGUAGUC